RNAcentral lists this ribosomal RNA (465 nucleotides) under uncultured bacterium. Its description in RNAcentral is "partial 16S ribosomal RNA". It matches the Rfam family "Bacterial small subunit ribosomal RNA", at positions 28 to 507 of the family's 1533-position model. The record is from RNAcentral.
GACGAACGCUGGCGGCGUGCUUAACACAUGCAAGUCGUACGGUAAGGCCCUUUCGGGGGUACACGAGUGGCGAACGGGUGCGUAACACGUGCGUAACCUGCCCACAACUUUGGGAUAACGCUAGGAAACUGGUGCUAAUACUGGAUAUGUGCUCCUGCUGCAUGGUGGGGGUUGGAAAGCUCCGGCGGUUGUGGAUGGACUCGCGGCCUAUCAGCUUGUUGGUGGGGUAGUGGCCUACCAAGGCGGCGACGGGUAGCCGGCCUGAGAGGGUGACCGGCCACAUUGGGACUGAGAUACGGCCCAGACACCUACGGGAGGCAGCAGUGGGGAAUAUUGCACAAUGGGCGCAAGCCUGAUGCAGCAACGCCGCGUGCGGGAUGACGGUCUUCGGGUUGUAAACCGCUUUCAGCAGGGACGAAGCUUUUUGUGACGGUACCUGCAGAAGAAGCACCGGCUAACUACGUG